This 273-nucleotide ribosomal RNA is filed under the name uncultured bacterium. RNAcentral describes it as "partial 16S ribosomal RNA". It matches the Rfam family "Bacterial small subunit ribosomal RNA", at positions 333 to 602 of the family's 1533-position model. The record is from RNAcentral.
GCUUCCCUACGGGACGCAGCAGUGGGGAAUAUUGCGCAAUGGGCGAAAGCCUGACGCAGCCAAGUCGCGUGAGGGAAGACGGUCCUAUGGAUUGUAAACCUCUUUUGUCGGGGAGCAAAAAGGCCUCGUGAGGCCACAAGUGAGAGUACCCGAAGAAAAAGCAUCGGCUAACUCCGUGCCAGCAGCCGCGGUAAUACGGAGGAUGCGAGCGUUAUUCGGAUUUAUUGGGUUUAAAGGGUGCGUAGGCGGACUGGAAAGUCAGCGGUAAAAUCG